Vespa mandarinia (Asian giant hornet) is the source of this 4989-nucleotide long non-coding RNA. Lineage: Eukaryota; Metazoa; Arthropoda; Insecta; Hymenoptera; Vespidae. The record is from RefSeq and is a predicted model, not a curated record.
UUCAAACACACUUUUUCGUAAUUACGCUUAUACUCUCCAAAACCGUAAAUCUAUGUUUUCUACAAAUGCAAACCUGGUGAAUUAGUGGCGCUGUUGUCAAUAAACGUGUAAGGUUAAAUUAGUUUAACAUUAUAUUUAAUGCUUAUUUAAAAAGUAGAUUGAUAGGUGCGUUUGAUCCUAUAAUUUUUUAACUGAUAUGCUUUCGUUGUCUAUAACAAAAAUGUUGAGUUAAUAUCAAUUUACAGAAAAUCAUUUGCAUAACCAUACUAUCUACAUAUAUAUCAUAAAAUGAUAUUUUACUCAUGUGUUUGUUGUGAAUUAUUCGAUAUCAACGAUACACUAUUUUUCUAUUAACUGCAAGGGAAUCAUUACUAAUUAAUCCAUCCAAAGGAAAGGGUAAUGUCGUCGUUGAAUUUAAAAGAGAUUUCAACGCCACGUUUAGGUUAUCUAUUAAACAGAAUUACAAGAAGCAAAUGAUUCUAUCAAACAUUUAAAAAGUUGGUUGAAGGACAUUAUGAACAGGUCCAGUUAAUAUAUUGGAGAGUAAAUAUGAAGGAAGCAAUUAAACGAAGUAAUAAGGCAAAAAAAAUAGUGAUAGGCUGUAAUCACAAGGGAAAGACUUUUUGGAAUAUUUAUAUCUACAGUUAUUGAUUUCUUUGUCAAGUACUCUGAUCAUAGCAAUGUUAAAUAUUUGGAUCCCAAAAAGACACCAUAAUACAAAAAUGUAUUGACAAAAAUAAUAUAAAGUAAAGGAAAUGUUUCUACAAGGAAUAUUUUGGGAAUGCUUCUGUGACCAUUAUUUGUGUUGAGACGCAUAUAUAUCACACAAACAUUUUUUACUUUUGCUUAUAUUCACGCACUUUCUUAUAUUAUAAAAUGAGUUGCAGUGAAAUCAAAAUGUAUUCAAAUCUAUCAUUGCGCAAGGUGGUACACUCUUCGAGAAACAGAAGUAUUUUUUAAAGUAGUUGAAUAUGCACCUGUCUUAUGAAAAUUUAGCAUUUAUUAUAGGUUUCUUCUAUCAGGUGCAAAUUUAUUUUGAAUUGAUAUUUUGCUUUGUACAUUGUACUUUAUUGGUCAUUUCAUGUCCAUUGAGCAAUUGACAUCCGGAAAUCUUACGGCAUUUUUGAUGCCAACAUAGGUAGUUCAAAGUACUUAAGUAUGCUAUCAUUGCCAAUGAUGGUGGGAGAAAAGACAUUAAUACAUUAGGAAAACUCUUAAAAGAUCUGAAGAAAGCAUUAUCUACAGUCAAGGACGUGAAUUAUUUAGAAAACGAAUUAAAAGAGAAAAUCCAAAACCAUAAAGGAUCGAGGAAGAAUCGAAUCUUAACAGCAAAAUCAUGGAGAAAGAACAAUGAGUUAAAGGAUCAUUCACAAGACGUUUUUCUUCAGAGUCAUAUUGACAAGACGUUGAAAAGGAGCCGCCUGAAGAAAACAAAGUAUGGAAAUGGAAUAAAGGAUUCAGACCAAAUAAUCUGGAUUUAGACCAUCGAAGAAAAGAGCCUUCAACAAUACGGAACAAGCAACAAGGAUGUUACACAAAAGCGAGCCUCUUGUGAAAGUCAAAUUUAGUAGGUACAAAUGAUACGUCAGCUUACAUACUGCAAUGGAAUAUUCUAAGAUAUACACAUCAAUAAAGAAGUAAGAAGUAACGUUUUAUAUCAAAAAUCAAGCUCGGAAUUGCGACAAAUAGAAACACUGAAUAAAAUAAGCAUUAAAUCACAGUUUUAAGAUAAUCGAAAGGAUGAAACUAUUACAUAUAUGUAAUCUAAUAUUCGAUCACCGAUCUAACGAAAUAAUGAUGAAACGCAGAAUGGUACCAUGAAAAAGGAUAAUCUGCAACAGCAUAGUAAUAACACAAACGCAUUCUAGUAAAAUCACUUGUCAGCUGAUUUCUUUUUAAACGUAAUGGUUAGUGAAAUAAUAAUCGAAAAAAAGAAAGUUACUCAAAAUUCACUUUUAGAUUGCAAUUAACAAGUAGGUAAUAUACUUUGAUAUGAAUUUUAAAUAAGCUAAACUUUUCAUAAAGCUCACAUCAGAAGAUCCGAACAUCUGAAAAUUUCUGAUAGUUUUAUAGACCACCAUCAAAAAAUUUUUAGGAUUGUAUUCUUUCGGAUCAAUUAUAUCAAUUACGCUGGGUGGACUUUAAUCUAUUAAUCUAUUGAGCCAAAGAAUGUACAAUAUUAUAGUAAGAGGAGUAUGAAUUACCGACAAGAAUCAAUAUAGAAAUCUUUAAUAUCGACGUAUGAGAAUCGGAAGUGUAAACUAAAUGCUGACGUCAUAUAUAUCAACGGAGCAAACGGAGAAAAAUCUAGAUGACUCACAGCGGACGUGAACAUGACUGAAAGGAUCACCCUGUUGACUACAGGUUCGGUGUAGUAGGGACAGAUUUUCGAACCCAUUUGUCGUUGGCAUGAUUGAAAGAUCGAAGAAAUUGAAAAAUUCACCCAUCGCUUAGAAAAAUUCUGCGAUGGUCCUCUAACACGCCUACUUCACAGCUACUACGGUAGUCACGCGAAUAAUGAACUCCAUGAUAUUUCUUUUUAUAAAGAAACAAGUAAGCAAAAAAUAAAAUGCACGCUGAGCUCUCUUCGAUUUCAAUUAUGUUGAUCUUUGCAUAGUGAAAAUAAUGUGCCGGAAUAACAAACUCUUAAAGUACAACAGAAUAAUGGCUCAAUUGCUUUUACAUGAAAACGAACACAAAAGCAAUAUAUCAUCUCUAUGCAAGCAAUAUAGCAUAAUAUCAUCAUUAUAAUAAAAAAUUAUGAAAACUAUUUAAGAAAUAUUUAAAAGAGCAAAUUAUCUAUCAUGUAAAACAACCUUCUGACAGAAAAAUUACUAUUAUAAGUAAUUUGCUCAUAUGAGCUAUUGUAUUUAUAUUAUUAAAUACAUUACAAGUCUUGAUUAACAUUCUUGAAAGUAGCACAUUAAAAAGAAUAAUAUUCGAAAGUAUUAAUCAUAGAUAAUAUAUUAUAUUUUUCAUUUAAUCAAAUUAAUAAAAACAAAUUAUAAGUUUGUAAUAUGCCAAAGUAUAUUAUCAUCGAGACAUCAUUAUAUUUUGAUUAGUAAAUCUCAUAUCAAAUCGAAAAAUGAGUGAGUGUUAUUGCACAUAAAAUUUAUUUUCACAUAAUCGAUGGAUUAUUACUCCGCAAAAGAAACAAUGAAUGAACAAUAACUUUCACAACAAUUUACUUCUUACCUUUUACUGCUUUACAUAUCUCAUGUGUUUCUCUCACUCUCUCUACCUGUAUCUAUUUAAUUGAUCUAAUGAUAAUCGAUUAACUCACAUUAAAGCAUGAUUAAAUUAAUUUUACGAACAUCAAUAAUUGCUACAAUAAUAUAAAAUUGAUAGUAAGUGAAACUUUUAAAAAAUUUCCCGAUUCCCCAUAAGAAAAAAGAUAAUAAAUAAAAAUAGAAUAAAAUGGAAAGAAUCAUGACCAAUUUUAGCGAAAGCUGCUGAAAACUUUUAAGUGCGAUCACUUAAUCAUAAUAUAAUUUAACUUAUAAGACCGAUACAUCAACGGCACGAUCUACUUAUAAGACCGAAACUGAUUUCCUUGCGUCGAAUACUCCUUCGAAUGCACAUCGACAAGAUUAUAAGCCUCAAACGAUUCGAUCUAUCAACGUAAAACGAUGUUUACAUUUCCGUUAAAACGAUUUUGUGAAAAUAGUCUACGAGCCACAGUCUUCCAUGUCACAAGCACGAGAUAUGUCAAAGAACAAGAAAACAGUAUAAAAGAAUAAACAUGAUUUCCGAUGUGAAGAGAUUAAUAUAUAAGCGAAUAAAGUUCAAUUACUUUUUUCACGAGAAAACAAACAUUUGUGUCGAUUGGUCACGAUCGACCAAUAAACAAAAAAAUCUUCAAAAUGCAAUAAAACAUAUACACAGAUUAAUGAUACAGAGAUGAAAAAACGUGAGCGUUUGUAUUCACCAAUUGUGCAAACAAAGCCAACGUACAUGCCAUUGUAAAAUUUGGAUCCUCUUUUUGCACGAAGACGAAAUAGAGAAAAUUCUUUGAGCACGAAAUUAAUAUAGAAAAUGAUAGAGAAACGUCGAAAAGAAAUUAUAACAUUUCUCACGGGAGAUAAUGAUCCUUUUGCUCUUGUGAUGAAGGCUUAGUGUAAUAGCUACGGUACGAAUGGAAAAAACCGUGCUCGUUAAAACACAAUGUACUUACGUGUUUUUAAAAAGAGAUAUGAUAUUAAAAAUAAUAAUAAUGACGAUAAUGAUAAUACAAUACUAAUAGAUCACUUUAUACGCAAGCGAUAAUACGUUGAGUAAUUUCUAAGAAUUCGGGGUGGAAUAAAAGAAAAAGUGAAAAAAUAAAAACGUCAACUAUUUGUCCGUUCGUUCUUAGAGAUCGAAGGCUAUAAUAAUUUCUUUAGUAAUGAUCGAGAAAAUGUAAUGAAGAAGGAAACGAACAGUGUGUCGCAAUGAAUAACCGACCCCGUUGUCUGUUGAUCGAGAAGGCGACCUCUACUAGGCUUCACAACCCUACACGGCCAUGUCCCGGGUAAGGGGACAAACCCGUGGUAGAAGAAGUACUUACUGGUGGUCGGACGAACUAACGAACCUUAGGGCCGUUGCGACGACCACAGUAAGGAAACUUUCCAGGGCCAGGAAGAAAAAGAAGAACAGUGAUGAAAUAGUGCAGUGCCUGGACGCUCGAAGGGACGCAAGGAGGGCACUGUCUAGGGCUAUUAAAGUGGCCAAGAGGAACUCAUGGAGGGACCUGCUGGACUCCAUAGAGGAGGAUCCAUGGGGAAGACCCUACAAACUGGUCUUGGGGAAACUAAGGCCUUAUGCCCCACCAGUAACCGAAACCAUGGAGGAGGAGGUACUGGAAAAAAUCCUCUGUGAGUUGUUCCCAGGAGGACCGGGAGUUGACGAGCCGCAGGAACCUACGCUAUCGGAGGUAACUAUCUCGGAAGAGGAGGUCUUGGCUGCUGCCCGGAAAGGAAGAGGAAGAAAGGCUCCUGGACUGGAUGGAAU